AGUGAACGCUGGCGGUAGGCCUAACACAUGCAAGUCGAACGGCAGCACAGUAAGAGCUUGCUCUUACGGGUGGCGAGUGGCGGACGGGUGAGGAAUACAUCGGAAUCUACUUUUUCGUGGGGGAUAACGUAGGGAAACUUACGCUAAUACCGCAUACGACCUACGGGUGAAAGCAGGGGAUCUUCGGACCUUGCGCGAUUGAAUGAGCCGAUGUCGGAUUAGCUAGUUGGCGGGGUAAAGGCCCACCAAGGCGACGAUCCGUAGCUGGUCUGAGAGGAUGAUCGGCCACACUGGAACUGGGACACGGUCCAGACUCCUACGGGAGGCAGCAGUGGGGAAUAUUGGACAAUGGGCGAAAGCCUGAUCCAGCCAUACCGCGUGGGUGAAGAAGGCCUUCGGGUUGUAAAGCCCUUUUGUUGGGAAAGAAAAGCAGCAGGUUAAUACCCCGCUGUUCUGACGGUACCCAAAGAAUAAGCACCGGCUAACUUCGUG
RNAcentral lists this ribosomal RNA (492 nucleotides) under uncultured bacterium. RNAcentral describes it as "partial 16S ribosomal RNA". It matches the Rfam family "Bacterial small subunit ribosomal RNA", at positions 29 to 507 of the family's 1533-position model. The record is from RNAcentral.